GCAUAUCCAAUAAGCGGAGGAAAAGAAACCAACAGGGAUUGCCCCAGUAACGGCGAGUGAAGCGGCAACAGCUCAAAUUUGAAAUCUGGCCUCGGCCCGAGUUGUAAUUUGCAGAGGAAGCUUCUGGUGCGGCGCCGUCCGAGUCUCCUGGAACGGAGCGCCAUAGAGGGUGAGAGCCCCGUAUGGACGGAUGCCAAACCUGUGUGAAGCUCCUUCGACGAGUCGAGUAGUUUGGGAAUGCUGCUCUAAAUGGGAGGUAAAUUCCUUCUAAAGCUAAAUAUUGGCCAGAGACCGAUAGCGCACAAGUAGAGUGAUCGAAAGAUGAAAAGCACUUUGAAAAGAGGGUUAAACAGCACGUGAAAUUGUUGAAAGGGAAGCGCUUGUGACCAGACUUGAGCGCGGCGGAUCAUCCGGUGUUCUCACCGGUGCACUCCGCCGUGUCCAGGCCAGCAUCGGUUUCCGCGGGGGGACAAAGGUCCCGGGAACGUAGCUCCUCCGGGAGUGUUAUAGCCCGGGGCGCAAUGCCCCCGCGGGGACCGAGGACCGCGCAUCUGCAAGGAUGCUGGCGUAAUGGUCAUCAGCGACCCGUCUUGAA
RNAcentral lists this ribosomal RNA (595 nucleotides) under Schizothecium sp. RNAcentral describes it as "partial large subunit ribosomal RNA". It matches the Rfam family "Eukaryotic large subunit ribosomal RNA", at positions 38 to 658 of the family's 3401-position model. Lineage: Eukaryota; Fungi; Ascomycota; Sordariomycetes; Sordariales; Schizotheciaceae. The record is from RNAcentral.